AUCGAUACGAGGAUUAGUAUCCGUCGAACGUUUGUAGAGACCAUUAUUUACGAUAAACUACGCGUUGUUUAUUACCUAUCGUACAUACAUGUAAGAGAGAUCGAAAUUAAAAAGAAAAUCAAUUACGCACUUGUAUAAAUAGCCUCCUCGAUCUUAACCAAAGUGUAAGUAAGCGAAAGGUAAGACAAUUUUCCUCGGG
Molecule: long non-coding RNA, 199 nt
Organism: Vespa mandarinia (Asian giant hornet)
Lineage: Eukaryota; Metazoa; Arthropoda; Insecta; Hymenoptera; Vespidae
Source: RefSeq, a predicted model, not a curated record